Molecule: ribosomal RNA, 300 nt
Filed under: Triticum aestivum (bread wheat)
Lineage: Eukaryota; Viridiplantae; Streptophyta; Magnoliopsida; Poales; Poaceae
Description: partial small subunit ribosomal RNA
Source: RNAcentral
AUGCAAUGUCAGUACGGAAGGAAGAAAUGUCAGCCAAUACGGUCGGGUCGAUCAACUUAUGUGAACACAACCAAUAUGGUCGGGUCGAUCGCCCUGGCCGGAACCGGGGCAAUGACUACCAAUAGUAUGAAGAGGAGGCGGGCAUCACACGGAGACAUUGCUCUUGCUCCUGCCAGAUUAAUUGCGCGGCAUAAACCGCAUAGCUCAUAUGCACAAAAAGUUCAUUUAGUGGACAAGCACCGCACAGCUCGGUAUCUUGGGCUGCUUGCUAUGCAUCUGACGGAGGCACUGUGCAUCUAA